GAUGAACGCUAGCGGCAGGCUUAACACAUGCAAGUCGAGGGGUAUAGGAAGCUUGCUUCCUAGAGACCGGCGCACGGGUGCGUAACGCGUAUGCAACCUACCUUUUACAGAGGGAUAGCCCAGAGAAAUUUGGAUUAAUACCUCAUGGUAUAUAUCAUUCGCAUGUUUGAUAUAUUAAAGUUCCAACGGUAAAAGAUGGGCAUGCGUCCUAUUAGCUAGAUGGUAAGGUAACGGCUUACCAUGGCAACGAUAGGUAGGGGUCCUGAGAGGGAGAUCCCCCACACUGGUACUGAGACACGGACCAGACUCCUACGGGAGGCAGCAGUGAGGAAUAUUGGACAAUGGGCGCAAGCCUGAUCCAGCCAUGCCGCGUGCAGGAAGAAGCAUCUAUGGUGUGUAAAACUGCUUUUGUACGGGAAGAAACACUCCCUUUCGUGAAGGAGCUUGACGGUACCGUAAGAAUAAGGGAUCGGCUAAACUCCGUGCCAGC
This 490-nucleotide ribosomal RNA is filed under the name uncultured bacterium. Its description in RNAcentral is "bacterial SSU rRNA". It matches the Rfam family "Bacterial small subunit ribosomal RNA", at positions 28 to 512 of the family's 1533-position model. The record is from RNAcentral.